Molecule: small nucleolar RNA, 84 nt
Organism: Panicum virgatum (switchgrass)
Lineage: Eukaryota; Viridiplantae; Streptophyta; Magnoliopsida; Poales; Poaceae
Product: small nucleolar RNA snoR20a
Exons: 1
Source: RefSeq, a predicted model, not a curated record
GCCUUUGAUGACCUGAUGGUUACAGAACAGGUGAAUAUUGCUUGAUACUGUUGAUAUUUCUCAUGAACUAGGACGGUCUGAGGU